GGUAUUUUUUUAGUUUUAAAAAAUACCUUGGGGUGGUAGAGGCCGCCGGUUCAAGUCCGGUCACUCAGACCA
Molecule: transfer RNA, 72 nt
Filed under: Caudoviricetes sp.
Lineage: Duplodnaviria; Heunggongvirae; Uroviricota; Caudoviricetes
Description: tRNA-Pro
Source: RNAcentral